RNAcentral lists this long non-coding RNA (356 nucleotides) under Homo sapiens (human). RNAcentral describes it as "HSALNT0048198". The record is from RNAcentral. Lineage: Eukaryota; Metazoa; Chordata; Mammalia; Primates; Hominidae.
GCAGGUGGAACUAGAGGAAGACAAACUGCUCUGAGAAAAACCUGCAAUUAGAGUGAGUUAUGGCUGGUAUCAAAGCUCAUGGGUGUGUUCUGAGGACCAAAUGAAUUAAAGGAUAUGAGCACCUGGGUCAAAGCAAUGAAAGGUGUGAACUAGACUGGCUUGAGGGAUGACUAGAUGGCUGGUGAAGCAGUGCUCCUGGGUGUUUCUGAAAGUUGCCAGAGACUGACCGACAUUCAAGUCAGGCGACUGAGAGAGGAAGAUGCGCCCCAAUGUGGGUGGGCACCAUCCAGUGGAUUGCCAGUAUGGCUAGAACAGGGCAGACGGUGGUGGUGAGUGCCUCUCGCUAUGUUUGAUGC